Molecule: long non-coding RNA, 206 nt
Filed under: Elaeis guineensis (African oil palm)
Lineage: Eukaryota; Viridiplantae; Streptophyta; Magnoliopsida; Arecales; Arecaceae
Description: long non-coding RNA (EGUI_LNC027923)
Source: RNAcentral
CGAAUACGUCGGCAUUGGUUCUCAGCAGCUCCACCAGCCGUCGUCGAUCUGGGUCGGGUAGUUGAGAACCGACCCAUACCUUUCGGUCGGGAUCCCCGGCCAUCGGGAUGGGGACGAGCUGCUCAGCCGGUUCGCCCCGUUCUCCCUCCUCCCGUGGGUCCAGCUUGUCGAUCGCCAGGGAGCCCUUCAACUCGUCACUUUGGGCG